Molecule: ribosomal RNA, 329 nt
Filed under: Prosymna janii
Lineage: Eukaryota; Metazoa; Chordata; Lepidosauria; Squamata; Prosymnidae
Description: partial 12S ribosomal RNA
Rfam family: Bacterial small subunit ribosomal RNA
Source: RNAcentral
UGAAAACUUAAAACUUAAAAGACUUGACGGUGCUCCACACCAACCUAGAGGAGCCUGUCAAUAACCGAUAAUCCACGAUUAACCCCACCCCCCCUAGCCAACAGUCUAUAUACCGCCGUCGCCAGCUUACCUUGUGAAAGAAACAAAGUGAGCUCAAUAACAUACAAUGCCAACACGACAGGUCGAGGUGUAACUUAUGGGGGGGGAAAGAUGGGCUACAUUUUCUAACUCAGAAAAUACGAACCAACCAUGAAACUGGAAACCAAAGGCGGAUUUAGCAGUAAGACAGAAAUAAAAUGUCUGUCCGAAAUAAACGCAAUGAAGCACGU